Sorghum bicolor (sorghum) is the source of this 522-nucleotide long non-coding RNA. RefSeq lists it as uncharacterized. The record is from RefSeq and is a predicted model, not a curated record. Lineage: Eukaryota; Viridiplantae; Streptophyta; Magnoliopsida; Poales; Poaceae. The transcript has 2 exons.
CACCGCACAAGACGCCCUCACGGCCGCACGGGCACGCCCUCGCCCCUCAGCUUCUGCUCGAUGCUCCUGCAGCCGCACGGGCACGGCGGCUGGCGACCGCACAGCAGAGGGCGUAUGCAGCACGCCCUCUCCCAUCCAGCACCCCGACGGACGACGGGAACCUCGCCGGCUCGUCGAUCCACCGGCCUCGGCGCCUGGCCAGUCCGCAUCUCCGCGACCUCAUCGACAUCGUCAGCCACUCAGCCUCGCCUCCCCCGACCUCGCCCCUACAGGCUCGCUGACCUCCGCACCUCGCCGACGAAUCCAGUAGUGCAAACGCACUUAGGUGGUUUUUGCUUGAAGGAUGGAAAAACAGCAGCACAUUCAUAUCAUUUUUUAGUGUGAAAACUUAUGUUGUAACUGAUUAUGUACUCAUUUGAUAUGUAUGUAUGAAAGUAUGAUUAAUGUGCCCAUUUGUGUAUGUUAUUGUAUUAGUUCUGAAUGGGUCCAGAUUUAAAUAUAUGUGGAUUAUUUUUUUUUACC